CCAUAAAUGAUUGCAUUGAUCUGGUUUGUUAGUCCUGUACUUCUGUCAUUUAAGGGCUAAGGUUAUGGUUGGAAUAGUAGCCUGUUGCUGACUCUUGAGCCAGUAGUUCUUAAUGGAAAUUAACAAACAAGUGCGAAAAUGAUUGCAAAUUUUUUUUAAAUAAUUUUUUUCUCUUUCUUGCUUGGUUUAUUUUUAAUAUUAUCGAAAAGGUCAUGUAGUCUUUUGACUUUAAAAGUCUAAUUGUGAUGGUGUCUUUUAAUACUAUAGUACCCAAAUUUGAAUUUCAGGUCCCUCUUGUUAAUAAAUUUACCCUGUAUCUUUUAGUAAUAGGGUGUUUCUUUGUGUAAUAGGGUGUAAGGAAAUGAAGCAUUGUUUGAUUAUUUCUUAUUUAGAUCUGAACAAGUUUUUGGUGGAGUUUUGAUGGCUUAUUGUGAAUUCUGUGUGUUUGUGACUGGGAUGCUCAUGAAAAUAAGUUUAUUGAAGUUGAAGGAAUUCUGAGAAGACAGAUAAAGAUGUCUCUUAUUCCUAGUGUGCAGCCUUUCCAUGCAAUAGCCUAUCCAAUUGAUCCAAUGCUU
Molecule: long non-coding RNA, 575 nt
Organism: Humulus lupulus (European hop)
Lineage: Eukaryota; Viridiplantae; Streptophyta; Magnoliopsida; Rosales; Cannabaceae
Exons: 3
Source: RefSeq, a predicted model, not a curated record